GAUUGUAACUUGAAUUUCAUUUUUCCACACAUGCCCUUUUUAUCUAGUUUUUUGUUACAGAAAGUACUGUUUUUUCAAGCUCCUAUCUAUGACAUAUUUACAACCAUGUCUAUAAUAAUGUCCCAAGGGUUUAAAAAUUUUCCAAUCAACAAAAAUGAAGGUAGAAGAAUCAUGGAAAUAGACAAAAAUAAAUUUUUUUAUUAAGAACUAGAACGAA
RNAcentral lists this long non-coding RNA (217 nucleotides) under Polistes fuscatus (common paper wasp). Its description in RNAcentral is "uncharacterized LOC122513355". Lineage: Eukaryota; Metazoa; Arthropoda; Insecta; Hymenoptera; Vespidae. The record is from RNAcentral.